GGACGAGUGGAUUAUCAUGUCCUCCGAAUUCCGGCAAAAUUAAAGUAUACAAAUGGUGUUCAUGCAAAGAGGAAAGAGAUAAAGAAUCGGAGGACAUGAUGCUGAUAUGUGAAACCACAAACAAAAAGAACUGUCCAGGUAAAGGCUACUACCAUCAGGAGUGCCUAGGAAUUGAAAGAGUACCUAAAGGAAAGUGGCUGUGCGACUUCUGCAAACAGAAAUCUAAAAAAUAAUUUAAUUGAAAACAUUAAAGAACGAAUAAACCGUCCAGUUGCUUGCUAAAGAU
Dendronephthya gigantea is the source of this 286-nucleotide long non-coding RNA. RefSeq lists it as uncharacterized. The transcript is spliced from 4 exons. Lineage: Eukaryota; Metazoa; Cnidaria; Anthozoa; Malacalcyonacea; Nephtheidae. The record is from RefSeq and is a predicted model, not a curated record.